Molecule: long non-coding RNA, 2763 nt
Organism: Monomorium pharaonis (pharaoh ant)
Lineage: Eukaryota; Metazoa; Arthropoda; Insecta; Hymenoptera; Formicidae
Exons: 2
Source: RefSeq, a predicted model, not a curated record
UCAUUUAAUUCCCACUACCCGUUUAGGAGGAAUAAAAUAUCAAAGUUAGGCCUGUUUUUCGACCGUUUAGGUUGGUGUAACCCCUUAAUAGUGAAGGGGAUAGUAGGCGUCACUUUAGAAAAAAUCAGUCCGAAAGUUGCCUAAUUCCUAGCAUUGCUUUAGCGGAAUGCAAGGUAAUGCAAGGAAUAAUAAUAUAACACGGCUUUUAAGCAUCAGGAAUUUGAAGUAUUAAUGUAUCAUAAAAAUAUAACGUUUUUACUAAAUAUUCUCUUUAAAUUGUGUUUAAUGUAUUGUUACUGAUUUAUAAUGGUAUACUUAUAGCUGUGAUAAUUAGUGAGUAUUUACUGUCUUAUAUUUUUACCUCAGAAUUAGUUUAUAAUUAUUUUAUUGAUUGACAAGUUAUAAGUAACCACUGAAAAUUAGUAUAUUUUUAUUGAUUUUACUGAAUAAAAUUUAAAGAGUAAUUUACCAAAAUACAAUUUUAUAAAUGAUUUUUAAUAAUAAAUUAUACAUUGUGUGUGUGUGUGUGUGUGUGUGUGUGUGUGUGUGUGUGUGUGUGUGUGUGUGUGUGUGUGUGUGUGUUAUUAUGUAUACACUAAAACGCUGCGUUAAUCAACUUCGUGUUAGUAGAAAUAAUUUCCUCUAUAUGCACUCGGCGCAGAUGAACGUAAGUGGGGGAUAGCAAUGCAAUCGCGUAAUAAAUAAUUUUCGUAGUUACAUGUUCACGUAUAUUAAGAUUUGUACGAGAUUGUGAUCUAAUCAAUUUAUUUAAAAAAUAGCUAAUAUUUUAGAAAAAUAAAGACGGAUAUGCAUAGCAUAAAAAUAAAGUUUGCGAUUAAAGGUGAAUUUUGUUUAAUAUUUUAUAUAUAUAUAAUGUUUAUAAAUUUUAAAUACAUUUUUCAGUUUUAUAAAUUAUGUGCCGAAUACAUUUAAUAUUGAAGCAUAAUUAUAUACUGGCUAGAUGACUGCCGCAAUAGGAGAUCAUCCCUCAGCUAUUUAAACCUGGAAGCCGACAAAAAUUAAAAAUUAGUAAUACAACUCAUUCAUACUUUGUCUAUAGCCGUGUGUACAAACAAAAUAAAAGAUGGUACAAACAGGUACAUACGAAAUAUAAACGAGUUGUGUUAUUAAUUUUUAAUUUUUGUAAAGUCGGGUUCAUAUAGCUGAUCACGCCGCGUUAGUAGACUAGAGCUUCAAACUAACGCAGAGUUUCAGUGUACAGGUAAGUCAAAUAGAUGAAUUUAGAAUCAGUGAUAGACUAAAAUGGAAAAAUAAUUAUAUAUUUAUGUAAUUUACUCACACAUACAAGCCUUAGGAACGUAUUCUCUAAAUUACCAUUAAUAAAAAAAUCAGUAAAAUUAAUGAAAAUACAUUAUCUUUCAGUGAUAUACUUAUAACAUGUUAAUUAUUGAAAAAGAUGCACUGGUCUUUUAGUGAUUACAUACUAAUUCUGAAGUAAAAAUUACUAAAGGACAAUGAAUACUCACUAAUUAUCACAAUUAUAAGUAUACCAUUGCAAAUUAGUCAUACAAUGAUUGUAGUUUCGAGAGUACUGAUACCAAAUAUGUUAAAUUAAUUAUAAAAUACAUAAAAACUUAGAAAAAAUUUUACCUUAUCUAGCACACUACGUAACAAGGAAUUAAGACGUUUUGUGAUUCGAUUUUGAACUAUAUAUUGUCUAGGUUACGGACAUGAAUUUAAAAGUGAACGUAAUAUUAUUAUAACAUGGGUAUUGUAUAUGAAUUGUAUAUUGUAUGAGAAUUUAAAUUGUAACCUCAAGGGGAUCAAUAAAUUAUUAUUAUUAUUGUAUAACUACUAUUACUAUUAUAACAUGGUAUUUUAAUUAUUACUAUUGUAACAUGGUAUUUUGAUCGUUUUGCUACUAUUCGACAUAUUGGGUUUUCGUAUUACCUUGAAGUAAUGAAAUAUUUUUAUGGGCUAAAAGAAAAGGCUCAAUGCUCUAACCGAUAGAUGUUUUAUGUUGACAAUGCGCUUGCAUAUUCAUCGUUAUUAAUCCGCCAGUUUUUAAGCGAAACAUAAGACAAGAGUCGUUCCGUACUCUUCUUACUCGUCUGAUUUGACACCAGCGAAUUUUUUUUCUCUAAAUUAUAAAUACCGUUGAAAGACCAACGUUCUAAAUUGAUUACAUUGAUAAAGAAAAAUUCGCUAGCGCAGCUGCACAGUAUCCUAAAUGAAGUGUUCCAGAAAUGUUUUGAAAAAUGAAAGAAACUUUGGAGACAACGUAUUCAAAAUGAAGGGAGACUACUUUACAGGCGAGAAGGCCGAAUAGCUUCUACAGUAGACGAACAAUUUUCUUUUUUAAAAAGCUCGAGAAUUUACCGAACAGAUCUCGUAUUUUCAAACAAAAUCCCUUAAUGUAUCAGUAAUAGUAUAUUUAUUCUAUUAUUUUUAUUGAUAGAUGUUAUUACAAGUUCAAGAAUAGUAAAAGGUAAUGAAAAUAAUGUAAAAAGAGAAAAUAAAUUGUAUUUUUUUGCGUUUUAUAUUUGAAUGGAUUUUUCAAACAUUAGCAUAAAUUAUUUAAAAAAUAAUAAAUACGAAUGAAAAGUAUUUUUUAUUUCAACUAUGUACAUUCUACAACAAUUAUCAAAAACUGAGAAAAUACCUUGAAAAUAGUUACAUCAUGGGAAUAAACUGUAAGCAAUUAUAAACAGAUAAAGAUAUAUACGUAGUUAUCGUGGAAAAUUUGUGAUAAAGCUAUUUGAUUCUGUGAUGUUACUGCGCUAUUAAUCAUAUCUUACAGUG